This 292-nucleotide ribosomal RNA is filed under the name uncultured bacterium. Its description in RNAcentral is "partial 16S ribosomal RNA". It matches the Rfam family "Bacterial small subunit ribosomal RNA", at positions 505 to 796 of the family's 1533-position model. The record is from RNAcentral.
GUGUCAGCAGCCGCGGUAAUACGUAGGGUCCGAGCGUUGUCCGGAAUUAUUGGGCGUAAAGAGCUCGUAGGCGGUCUGUCGCGUCGGCUGUGAAAACACGGGGCUCAACUCCGUGCCUGCAGUCGAUACGGGCAGACUAGAGUUCGGUAGGGGAGACUGGAAUUCCUGGUGUAGCGGUGAAAUGCGCAGAUAUCAGGAGGAACACCGGUGGCGAAGGCGGGUCUCUGGGCCGAAACUGACGCUGAGGAGCGAAAGCGUGGGGAGCGAACAGGAUUAGAUACCCUGGUAGUCC